This 428-nucleotide ribosomal RNA is filed under the name uncultured bacterium. RNAcentral describes it as "partial 16S ribosomal RNA". It matches the Rfam family "Bacterial small subunit ribosomal RNA", at positions 354 to 796 of the family's 1533-position model. The record is from RNAcentral.
GUAGGGAAUAUUGCACAAUGGGGGAAACCCUGAUGCAGCGACGCCGCGUGAGUGAUGAAGGCCUUCGGGUCGUAAAGCUCUGUCGUAUGGGACUAACACAAUGAAGGUACCAUGCAAGAAAGGAUCGGCUAACUUCGUGCCAGCAGCCGCGGUAAGACGAGGGAUCCUAGCGUUGUUCGGAAUCAUUGGGCGUAAAGCGGGUGUAGGCGGAUUUAUAAGUCAGGUGUGAAAUCUCAGGGCUCAACCCUGGAAGUGCACUUGAUACUGUAAAUCUUGAGUAUGGUAGAGGUUACUGGAAUUGUUGGUGUAGUGGUGAAAUACGUAGAUAUCAACAGGAAUACCGGAGGCGAAGGCGAGUAACUGGGCCAACACUGACGCUGAGACCCGAAAGCGUGGGGAUCAAACAGGAUUAGAUACCCCGGUAGUCC